This 301-nucleotide ribosomal RNA is filed under the name uncultured bacterium. RNAcentral's name for it is "partial 16S ribosomal RNA". It matches the Rfam family "Bacterial small subunit ribosomal RNA", at positions 509 to 807 of the family's 1533-position model. The record is from RNAcentral.
CAGCAGCCGCGGGAAUACGGAGGGAGCUAGCGUUGUUCGGAAUUACUGGGCGUAAAGCGCACGUAGGCGGUUAUUCAAGUCAGAGGUGAAAGCCCGGGGCUCAACCCCGGAACUGCCUUUGAAACUAGAUGACUAGAAUCUUGGAGAGGUCAGUGGAAUUCCGAGUGUAGAGGUGAAAUUCGUAGAUAUUCGGAAGAACACCAGUGGCGAAGGCGACUGACUGGACAAGUAUUGACGCUGAGGUGCGAAAGCGUGGGGAGCAAACAGGAUUAGAUACCCGCGUAGUCCCUGUCUCUUAUAC